GAGGAUUUAGCUCAGUGGUAGAGCGCUUGCCUAGCAAGCGAAAGGCCCUGGGUUCGGUCCUCAGCUCU
RNAcentral lists this transfer RNA (68 nucleotides) under Rattus norvegicus (Norway rat). It matches the Rfam family "tRNA". Rfam says of the family: Transfer RNA (tRNA) molecules are approximately 80 nucleotides in length. Their secondary structure includes four short double-helical elements and three loops (D, anti-codon, and T loops). The record is from Rfam by way of RNAcentral. Lineage: Eukaryota; Metazoa; Chordata; Mammalia; Rodentia; Muridae.